UACGUAGGGUGCGAGCGUUAAUCGGAAUUACUGGGCGUAAAGCGUGCGCAGGCGGUUCGUUAUGUCCGAUGUGAAAGCCCCGAGCUCAACUUGGGAAUGGCAUUGGAAACUGGCGGGCUGGAGUGUGGCAGAGGGGGGUGGAAUUCCACGUGUAGCAGUGAAAUGCGUAGAUAUCGUAAGGAAGACCAGUGGCGAAGGCGGGUCUCUGGGCCGAUACUGACGCUGAGGAGCGAAAGCGUGGGGAGCGAACAGG
Molecule: ribosomal RNA, 253 nt
Filed under: uncultured bacterium
Lineage: Bacteria
Description: partial 16S ribosomal RNA
Rfam family: Bacterial small subunit ribosomal RNA
Source: RNAcentral